This 253-nucleotide ribosomal RNA is filed under the name uncultured bacterium. RNAcentral describes it as "partial 16S ribosomal RNA". It matches the Rfam family "Bacterial small subunit ribosomal RNA", at positions 524 to 776 of the family's 1533-position model. The record is from RNAcentral.
UACGGGGGGGGCAAGCGUUGUUCGGAAUUACUGGGCGUAAAGGGCUUGUAGGUGGCCAACUAAGUCAGACGUGAAAUCCCUCGGCUUAACCGGGGAACUGCGUCUGAUACUGGAUGGCUCGAGUGUGGGAGAGGGAUGCGGAAUUCCAGGUGUAGCGGUGAAAUGCGUAGAUAUCUGGAGGAACACCGGUGGCGAAGGCGGCAUCCUGGACCAUAACUGACGCUAAAGCGCGACAGCAUGGGGAGCAAACGGG